AUACGUAGGGGGCGAGCGUUGUCCGGAAUGAUUGGGCGUAAAGGGCGCGUAGGCGGCCCGGUAAGUCUGGAGUGAAAGUCCUGUUUUUAAGAUGGGAAUUGCUUUGGAUACUGUCGGGCUUGAGUGCUGGAGGGGGAAGUGGAAUUCCCAGUGUAGAGGUGAAAUGCGUAGAGAUUGGGAGGAACACCAGUGGCGAAGGCGACUUACUGGACUGUAACUGACGCUGAGGCGCGAAAGUGUGGGGAGCAAACAGGAUUAGAUACCCUGGUAGUCCACACUGUAAACGAUGAAUGCUAGGUGUAGGGGGUAUCGACCCCUUCUGUGCCGCAGUCAACACAAUAAGCAUUCCGCCUGGGGAGUACGGCCGCAAGGUUGAAACUCAAAUGAAUCGACGGGG
RNAcentral lists this ribosomal RNA (397 nucleotides) under uncultured bacterium. RNAcentral's name for it is "partial 16S ribosomal RNA". It matches the Rfam family "Bacterial small subunit ribosomal RNA", at positions 523 to 918 of the family's 1533-position model. The record is from RNAcentral.